UCGAUGUACAGUAAAACCUCUAUAUUUUGUAUUACAUGAAGUACGUGUAACAUCACAAUAGCGUUGUGUCAUUAUGUACACAGCAAAAAACGCCAGCCUGUAACAAUGUUGUUGAAAACAGGCUUGAACAAUGUUUUGCUGCCCACGUUGUUCACACUUGUCAACAAUAUUGAACAAUAUUGUUGAGCUUGAAUCGGGUGUAACAAUAUUGUUCAAUAUUGUUGACAACUGUGAACAAUGUGGGCAGCAAAACGUUGUUCAAGCCUGUUUUCAACAGCAUGGCGUUUUUUGCUGUGUACAC
Non-coding RNA from Paramuricea clavata, 301 nucleotides. NCBI's taxonomy places the organism in Eukaryota, Metazoa, Cnidaria, Anthozoa, Malacalcyonacea, Plexauridae. The record is from the annotation of a GenBank genome assembly.